GGUCGUUUCCCGCGGGAGGAAGGGGAGCGGAGCCGGGGCCUGGUCUGGGGGAAGCCGGGGAGGCCCCGCUGGCGGCUGUGAAAAGCCUGGGGAGGGGGCUGGGAAAACCUCGGCUUCCCUCGGGAUAUCGCGGUCUGGAAGUGGGAAGCUGGGGGUUGCCUGUGCUUGACAGGUGUCACGGUUCAAGCUCUUGAUUGUUUUUUAAUUCUGACAUUUUUAAAGAACAAAGUACAACCCAGGAUCCGGCACGGUAUCAGAAUUUGCCCAGGUGAAUGAAAAAAAUGAGAGCAAUAGCACUGGCAGCGCAAUUCCUCUCUCCUGAUGCCGGAGGAGAAUUGACAGGAGCAGCGUCAGUGGUGUCAAAAAGCAACGCUGUUAUCACAAAUGAUUAAUAUUGGAAGAAUUUAUUUUGGACACGAGAAGGAAGUAAUGCCCAGUAGGAGUUUCCAACAAAUACUGGAACCUUACCAACAUUUUAAGCCCCGUGAAGGAAAUGAGAAAUUCAAAUUGUGCUUCACCUCUUCAUCUCUAUGUACAAGCUCUUUUACUAAGAUCUGCUUUUUGCAGUAAAAGCAUCAAACAGCUGAUAGACUUCUGUAAGAUAAUGAGAUAACAGAAUAAGGGACUAGAUUGACGUUUUCACUGCUGACAAAAUACAAUUUUUUUUGCUUAAAAAACUUGUUCCAUCAACAGACUGCUGUAAAUACAGAUUUUUUUUUUCUUAUUUUCAUAUUCACAGUAAUUGAAGAGCUCAAAAAUGGUAACCCGCAAUAAUUUAUUCAUGUUUUUCACUUCAGAAAUGGUGGGACUAAUUGCAAGGUUUUUUUCCUGCUUGCUUUUAUUGAAAUCCAAGGGAGUUGGAGGACAGAGUUCACAGUUACUUAUUUGAAGCAGGAAUUGUUAAAUCAUACACCAAAAAAAAAAAAAAAGGUUCUCAGAUUUGUGUCUUAGCAUCUAAGGCCCCAUUCUGCCAGCCUUGCCAUAGUAUCUUGUAAGAAAUCUGGGAUGGACAGUACACAAAUUGCUCUAAUUUGAAAGGGGAAGAAAAUAAGACCAUUAAAGCCAUCCUGUCAGAAUAAAAAAAAGGAAGGAAAAAAGAGGGUGGGAGUAAGGUUUUCUUUUCAACUAAUCAUUGGGAAUAAUGAAGGAUGUUUAUAAGUGACUCCCAUCUUUGAAUUGAUAGCAAAAGCAGAGAAUUUAAGAUCUGUCAUCUUUUUUCCCCUCUUACCAUUAGCAAGAGGUUAAAAUACUUGCAGGGUUCUGCAGCCUUCAGCAAUGCUCACACUGACUCAUGCUUGGAGACUUCUGAAUGCUGCACUAAAGAGGGCUUUGCAUCAGGUCCAGUGCAAUUUGGCAAACAGAAUGAAUAGAGCAUUCACUAUUCAAUGAUAGACAUAUAUCUAUAUAGAUAUAUAUAUGUAUAUAUAUGUAUACACACACCUCUUCAAAGAACUGAAAAGGGUGGGAAUCUCCAGGCAGACAUUUGUCUUUUUUUUUGUAGCUGUACGUUCUUUAACAGCAAUAAGCUGACAGAAUUGAGACAGAAAUUGGGCUCGUGAGUUUACGUGUGAUUGUCUCUGGCUGGUGAAAGUCUAUAAGCAAUCAUCCCAUACCACUGUACAGCCUUCCAUGGGGGCUUUGCACACACCUCUAGAGAGAGCAGCUGAGGAACUCUUUCAUAUAAUCAUGGCACUGCAACUUUCCUAAUAUGCAGCAGGAUUUUUUCAGGGCCAGUGCUGGCAGGGAAGCAGUUGUGUGAAGGCUUUUACUUUUAAAGUCUCAAUUUCACGGCUACAGAGAAAAGUUUGAAAGUGAGGCUUGCCUGCCAAAGGUGAUUUCUCUCUGAGGUGGUUUGGUUUGGGUUUUGCAUGUUUGGUUGUUUAGGAUUGUGCUUGCUUCAGCUGAAUGGAGCUAAGCUACUCCUCAGUUAGACUGGGCUUAGAAGUUACAGCGUUUCUACCAAACUGUUUCAGGAGGUAAGCUGGGGUCUCUUAGACAAGGCUCAGCUCUGCAGGGAUCGUUGAUGUCCUGGCUCGGAGAUCCAGCAGCUCUCUCCCUGUGAUUUGUGCGUGGGGUAAACCUGCAGGAAGUGUGUCAUGGGUUUGGCUCUGGCUUCACCUAAGAGAACCAAACCACAAAAUCCAGAGUAAAAGGAGCUUGGGCAAGCAGGUCUACUCAAGGUGAGCAGUGUGCCUAUAGCUGGGGUAGGUCCCAGGGGCUUGAUGCAGCUCUUGCACCCUUGUGAGCAGGAAGUAAUUCCCCUGAAGCUCAUGGGUUUGUAGUUUCCAAGCCUGAAUCAAUUCAGUGUCUGGCAAGAGGACCUGAUCCCUCCUUGCUCACAUCCAUGCACAUCCCAAGCAGUCAAAAAUCUUUGAUCCCAUGCAGGUGCCCUGCUGACAUAAACUUCACUUUUAACUGCAUCUUCUCGGGAGCAUCAGAAGGUGUGUACCAUGUUGAGGUGAGUUGUCCUUAAAAAUAUUUGUUCUUCUGAGCAUAAUUGAGAUUAUUUUGUUGAUAGUUUCACGCAAAGGCCUUGGAGCCUGGCUUUCUUACUGCACCACAGCUCUUUACAAAAUAAGAUUGCUUAGUUAGUUAUUGACCUUAGGGAAUACCUUUAAAAACCUGUAAACAUCCACUUUUAAGUGAAUAAAAGCAGUGAAUUUCCUUCAUCUAUGUUUACUUUCUGAAAACAUUCCCAUCAAUUAGAUUAGUGGCUAGAAGUGUUCAUGGAAAGAUUUUUAAGCCUAUUUUAGAGGGUAUUCAUGGAAAACAAAAUUUUAUCUCAAAACCACAGUCAUUUUACCAGGUGUUAAUUUAUGUUCUGGGAAUGCAAACCAGUAUUACGUGUCUGAUUUGUUCAGGAUUUGUAGCUCUGCUGUUUAUCCAGUCUUGUCUCUUUUUCUUCCAUGCUGAUUUCUAGUCCUCUGCUGUGCUAGGAAUGGAGAAUUGAACAUUUUAUUUGUUCACACCUUCUGCAUUUCCCUCUUGAACAGAGGGCUCCUUUCUUGAGCAACAGUGAAACUAAACCGCUAUCACAAAGCAAACUUGGGCCCUGGAAUAUAAAACCACUCCCUGCAAUAUUUAAAUUCCUUUGAAAACCAUCCUCUUCCAUAAGCCUGUGAACAUUGUCCAGCUGCAAUGAGUUUAUCGAUUCUUGGAAACCAUCUGUAUUUAGCAAAGAAAUAACAACACUGUGUGCUGAAACAGAGAUAAUUGCCAUUUUAUACAUUUCACUUAGAUAUUGGAUACUUCUGAUCCUUUCUCUGUGAAGUAGAACUGGGAACAAAGGUAUACCAGUAUAUAAUAUGCUUACUUUUUAAAAAUUACAUUUGUCUUUCUAAUAGUUACAUGAAAGGUACUGGGUUUAUUACAGGACAAACAAUUUAAUUGAGAUUUAAGAUUAAUGUCAUUACUACCAUCACAUAAUCAUGCUCAUGUGCAUUCUCCAAACGUUUAGCAUCACAUUCCCAACCCCUUUGCUUUGCAAAUGACAAGGAGAGAAGAUCCAGAGCUCUUGUUGCAAGAAAACAGAACCUCCUUUACCUAAAGGCAAAAAAAUCUGUAAUGUUUUGUCCUUAAAUCAUACCAUUUAUACACAUUUGUAAGCUGCUCUUCACCUUGGACUGUGUUCUUCUAUUGGUUAUAAUGUUUUCAGCUAUCCAGUGUCUGUGUCCCCACACAGCACUGCCAAACACCGACUUCUCCUGUAAUUUUAAAACUCAAACUACUUCACUAAUAUCCUGUAAAUGCUUCUGCUCAUACAGCUUUAUUGCCUGGUUUACAAACAUUUCCAACCUAAUCCAUGAACUCAUAACACACUGACUUCCUUGUAUUAUUCCACUACCAGAAACCACAUGACAUUUACUGUAUUAAAAUACAAUAGUGAACACUUACUCUUAAGUCCAAAGUUUGAACUGCAAUUUAAAUAUGGUGUUCCCCCAACACCCCCCCACACAUUUAUUGUAGAAAUUUGCAGAGCUUUUAUGUGGAGCACUGAAAUGCUUAAUGAUGGGUGCUUGUGUGCAAAGUUCUCCAGCCAUGUGGGCCACCUUCAUCAUCUCAGCAUUACCAGUUGUCAUCUGACUGCAGCCCAUCCAAGACAGAGCCUGUGUGUUUUUUCCUGCUUAGGAAGGGACUGGCACAACUGCAGCACUGGCAAAAAUACCAUAAAUUAUAGCAGUGAACCAAGCACAUUCCUCUGUGAAAUGGCAAGGGUCAGGUACUUGUAGCAGGGAUGCUUUUGUGUGGUCCAUGAGAACAAGAUGUACUUCUAGGAAAUCUCCAGUGAGAAAAUUUCACAUGCAAAAAUUGGAGGAAACAAAGCUGCAUGUGGACAAGGAUGCUGAAUUCAAGAGUAAGUUAUAUCUUAUGAAGUUUUUGUCCAGCUCAAGUUGCAAGCCCCUCAAAAUCAGGAUUUUAUUGUAGGAGAACUACCAGAUAUUUAUUGUGAGUCAUGACCACCUUACACAUUGGUGCUGGCAGAAAAUGGGGUGUAAAUGAAGGGAACAAUUUUAGUGAUAUGGCAAAAGUGCUUUUACAUUUUAAUUGUGCUGCAGAAAGGUCAAGGUUGGAUCUUGGUGAAGGAAUAAUUUGCUUUUAUGGUUUAUGAAUGUACCUCUCCAAAACUGAAGAAGUAGAACUGAGGAAGAAAUCAAAAUUUUCCUGUGCAGGUUGUUGCUUCCAAUUUGCUUUUAAAACAGCCUUCCUAAAACAGGCAUCCUGAAAUUUUAGUGCCUUAUCCCACAUUUCCAGGGUGACCAUGCAGUUCUUAAGGCAGGGCUAGGGCAUCUGCAAGUUGAGAAGGAUGUGCCGAUGAAGUGGCCCAGCUGUUGUUUGUGGCAAGAGGAAUCCAUAUGUACUGAUUUGCCUCUGAAAAACGUUCUGUAGGCUUUCAGUUCUGCAGAACAGUGUGAGGAGAGGGGUCAAUGGGGUGCGUGGCUCUUCAGUACCACACCAUGCACCAGCAUGGUCAGAUGAGAAGGGGUGCUUUCCCUUUGCCAGGACACUUCCCAUCCCCUUCCCAUCAGCUUGUUUUUGACCAUUGGCAACCCACUCACCUCGGCAGACACAGCAAACAUGAUUCUGUGAUGCCUCUAAAGGAGCUGCAUAGAAGGAAUAAGAAUUUCCUUUCUCUUACCCAGUUUUCAGUCCCGCACAUUCCCCAUGACCUGGUCAUGACAGAGCUGCAAGUAAGACACCUUCAGCAAGAGCCUUAUUCACAUUGAGAUUUAGAAAUGGGAUCAGAAAGUUACAAAGGGACAAACUUGUCAAGAAAAGGUAGAAUGCUUUUGGUUCAGUGGCCAAAUGUUAAGCACCAUCCCCAGGUUCAAAUGAAUUUCCUGUAUCUUCAUUUCAAUGAACUACAGAAUCACAGAAUGGGUCAGAUUAGAGAAGACCACAGUGAUCAGAUCCAAACUCCCUGCUCAGGCAGAGUUGUUCUAGAGCACAUGGCACAGGAGUGUGUCCAGAUGCUUCUGGAAUAUUGCCCAGACUCCACAGCCUCUCUGGGCAAUCUGUCCCAGUGCUCGGGCACUGCGCAGGGAAAAAGUUCUUCCUCAUGUUCAGGCGGAACUUCCUGAGCAUCAGUUCCUGCCCGUGUCCCCUUGUGCCUUUGCCUGGUCCAUGCUCUGACCCCUCCCUGCAGACUGACAGACAUUGAUGAGAUUCCCCCUCGGUGUCUCUUCUCCAGGAUAAAUAGGCCUUUCCUCAGAAGAGAGAUGCUCCAGUACUUUGAUCAACUUUGUUCCUGCUGGACCAGGAGCUGAACCAGGAGCUCAAUGUCUCUUGUACUGAAGAGCCCAGAACUGGACAUGCUGGGAGCGCCAUUCCUCUCUGAAGAGAAAGACCCUGGCCCUGUUAUUUGUCUGCUAAUGCUGCUGUAAGUCUCAGCCCUCUGGGGAUGUGUCUGGAGUUGGUGCUGGACAUCCUGCCCUGCAGUGGGAGAGAGCCCUGGAGCCUGCAAGUCCACAGAGAUAAGCAUGGAGCCAUACAAAAACUGAGAGCCAUGUUCUGUACAGGUUGCAAGAGCCUGGGGUAGAGACAGUUGUGACCUGCCCUGUUUUCUCCAUGCCAUACAAGUCCCACUCCUGAGGAUGUGAUGUCUUGGGUGCCCGUGUCCUGCUGCUCACUCCAUCAUGCCAGAAGUGACUCCAUCAUUCUACUUUUCUGGCUCUGCCUGCUCGCAGCAAGACACAACUGGAGCAGGAGCAGCUUCCCCAGGCAGACCUGUCUCAGCCCACAGGAAACCUCAAACCCUGUUUCCCCAUCUCACAACAACCACCUCCAAGUCUUUAUUAAUCUGAAUAA
Molecule: long non-coding RNA, 6306 nt
Organism: Catharus ustulatus (Swainson's thrush)
Lineage: Eukaryota; Metazoa; Chordata; Aves; Passeriformes; Turdidae
Exons: 3
Source: RefSeq, a predicted model, not a curated record